AUGAACGCUGGCGGCGUGCCUAAUCCAUGCAAGUCGAGCGAACAGACGAGGAGCUUGCUCCUCUGACGUUAGCGGCGGACGGGUGAGUAACACGUGGAUAACCUACCUAUAAGACUGGGAUAACUUCGGGAAACCGGAGCUAAUACCGGAUAAUAUAUUGAACCGCAUGGUUCAAUAGUGAAAGACGGUUUUGCUGUCACUUAUAGAUGGAUCCGCGCCGCAUUAGCUAGUUGGUAAGGUAACGGCUUACCAAGGCAACGAUGCGUAGCCGACCUGAGAGGGUGAUCGGCCACACUGGAACUGAGACACGGUCCAGACUCCUACGGGAGGCAGCAGUAGGGAAUCUUCCGCAAUGGGCGAAAGCCUGACGGAGCAACGCCGCGUGAGUGAUGAAGGUCUUCGGAUCGUAAAGCUCUGUUAUUAGGGAAGAACAAAUGUGUAAGUAACUAUGCACGUCUUGACGGUACCUAAUCAGAAAGCCACGGCUAACUACGUG
RNAcentral lists this ribosomal RNA (496 nucleotides) under uncultured bacterium. Its description in RNAcentral is "partial 16S ribosomal RNA". It matches the Rfam family "Bacterial small subunit ribosomal RNA", at positions 29 to 507 of the family's 1533-position model. The record is from RNAcentral.